This 404-nucleotide ribosomal RNA is filed under the name Actinomycetes bacterium. RNAcentral describes it as "Actinobacteria bacterium partial 16S ribosomal RNA". It matches the Rfam family "Bacterial small subunit ribosomal RNA", at positions 355 to 776 of the family's 1533-position model. Lineage: Bacteria; Bacillati; Actinomycetota; Actinomycetes. The record is from RNAcentral.
UGGGGAAUAUUGGACAAUGGGCGCAAGCCUGAUCCAGCCAUGCCGCGUGAGUGAUGAAGGCCCUAGGGUUGUAAAGCUCUUUCACCGGUGAAGAUAAUGACGGUAACCGGAGAAGAAGCCCCGGCUAACUUCGUGCCAGCAGCCGCGGUAAUACGAAGGGGGCUAGCGUUGUUCGGAUUUACUGGGCGUAAAGCGCACGUAGGCGGACUUUUAAGUCAGGGGUGAAAUCCCGGGGCUCAACCCCGGAACUGCCUUUGAUACUGGAAGUCUUGAGUAUGGUAGAGGUGAGUGGAAUUCCGAGUGUAGAAGUGAAAUUCGUAGAUAUUCGGAGGAACACCAGUGGCGAAGGCGGCUCACUGGACCAUUACUGACGCUGAGGUGCGAAAGCGGGGGGAGCAAACAGG